Molecule: long non-coding RNA, 300 nt
Organism: Juglans microcarpa x Juglans regia
Lineage: Eukaryota; Viridiplantae; Streptophyta; Magnoliopsida; Fagales; Juglandaceae
Exons: 2
Source: RefSeq, a predicted model, not a curated record
ACCUCCUUUAGGUAGAUAGAAACUUGUUACACCUUUGAGCAACAAUGAAUUCGUGUAUAACACCUUUUACAGUUACAAUCACCUUACGAGUGGUGAUUCAGCUAUUCCCAGUGUAGAAUUCCUGCUACACUCAAAAGAUAUGAAAUGAAAACCGUAUACCACAAACUAUAUCUCUCAAAAUGAAUAAAUGUUAAGGCUCAAUACUUAGAAAAUAAAAAGAUUGAAAGCUGAAUAUUGUAAAUUGUUGUGUGAUUUUGAAGAUCUCAAAUGAGCGAUCUAUAGACAUGUUCAUUUUCAAAU